This 235-nucleotide unclassified non-coding RNA is filed under the name uncultured fungus. RNAcentral's name for it is "sequence contains ITS1, 5.8S rRNA gene". The stretch from base 187 to 235 matches the Rfam family "5.8S ribosomal RNA", at positions 1 to 49 of the family's 154-position model. The record is from RNAcentral. Lineage: Eukaryota; Fungi.
UAACCGUAGGUGAACCUGCGGUUGGAUCAUUACUAAAUGAUAGCCAGUUCUCUUGCGCAAGCGAGAUUGAGCAGGCAUUAACCCUUUGUGAACUGUUGCUGUACUUGGGUACAAGAGUCUCUCGAGACGACGGUACCCGCCUUAUAAACCCCAUAUAUGUUUAACUGAAUGUGAUCUAAGAGAAAUAACUUUUGACAAUGGAUCUCUUGGCUCUCGCAUCGAUGAAGAACGCAGC